AUGGGAGCCCCUUUUUGCCCCAUCUCUUAUUCAACAAACCUAUUUACAUAUCUAGACCUAGAAGAUAUGAACUACCUAGUAAACUGGACAUCUACUUUAUUUAUUCAACUUAUACAACUCCACCACCAUGUCUAUACACACAUAUUUCCAUUUCCAAUCACAUUAAGCUCAACUCUUCAUUCAAUAUCUUGA
Vicia faba (fava bean) is the source of this 192-nucleotide non-coding RNA. Lineage: Eukaryota; Viridiplantae; Streptophyta; Magnoliopsida; Fabales; Fabaceae. The record is from the annotation of a GenBank genome assembly.